Camellia sinensis is the source of this 1361-nucleotide RNA transcript. It is a transcript of the gene named E3 ubiquitin-protein ligase APD1, with no coding region annotated. NCBI's taxonomy places the organism in Eukaryota, Viridiplantae, Streptophyta, Magnoliopsida, Ericales, Theaceae. The record is from RefSeq and is a predicted model, not a curated record.
UCAAAAUUGUGUGGGGGUUAGUUGAGUUUCCAGAUAUUGAAUACAAAACAUCACAAACUUGUCUAAUAUUCUCUUACCUAUCUAUCACUCCACCACCUUACAUAUACAUUCUUCAUGGUUUCAACAAACCUUAGUCUUUCUUGCUUUCCUUCAUUUCACUCUCCUCCAUUGCUGCAUUCAGCAAUUCUUCUUACUCUACUUUCAUUUUCUUCUGAAAAAUUACCUGCAUUGUGACAAUUUUCUUUUCUUUUUUUAGUAUUUCGCUACUGGGUCUGGAACUGAGUUUUUUAGUACUGGGGGACUUCUUGAAUGGGUUGGGAAGAAACUAACUGAGCUUGUAACUUUAUUUCAAAUUCAAGGUACCUUGUUCUAACUUGCAUUUGCAACAUAAAGAAAGUGAGAAGUAACUUUUUGUUUUGAAAAAAUAAAAAUAAAAAAUCACAAAUGGUGUCCAAAAUUUGGCCCCUGUUUUUGCCCCUGCUUUCAUGAUGCUUUAUUUAUUUUCAGCAAUUAAUUCAAUCUGCAAUAGUAGAGCAAGAAUGCAGGACAGAAACAGAUUCAUGAAAUUGUCUUCCACAAUUGACAGACACAGUUCACUCAGACUUCAAAUGUUCAGCACCCAAUAUGCCAUCUUGUUCAAGUCCAAUCAAGAUGACCACAGUGAAUCGUACCUUGCACUUUUUUUUGUGAUUCGUAUGGUUUUAUACGUCUCAAUUUUAGCUGUUCUCGUGAUUGUGGUCGCUCUGAUCAUCAAAUACCUGGGGGACUAUGGAAAUGACUUCAUUAUAGAAAACACGACCACAUCUGAGACUAAUCAUUUGUUACCAAAGGAGGCCCCAAUUUCAUUCUCGUACGGAACAUGCGAAAAAGAAGAUGUAGAAAAAGAUGGAAAAAGAAAGUCCAAUGGCAAUUCCUCGGAUGAAUUGUAUGAUGGGAAAAUAUGCAUAAUUUGCUAUGAAGAGCCACGGAAUUGCUUCUUUGUUCCUUGUGGUCACUGUGCUACCUGCCAUGUUUGUGCCCACAGGUUUGGAGCUUUCUAGAAUCUAUGCACCAGAACCAUGGGCGUGACGGAGUCUAAACAAAGGACCCGAUCCUGAGGAUGGAUUAUGGAUGAGGAAAGCAGGACAUGCCCAGUAUGUCGAAUAUUGAUUCGCAGAGUAAAAAGACUUUUUAACAUCCCACAAAAUCAAACUGACGAGUAAGAAAUUUCAUUUGCCGAGAAAAUUUGCAUCUUUGGAGCAAGGAUGGAAAAUUAUUCUAUUGCUUGGUUUGGACCUAGUGUUGGAAUUACAAGUAGCCAAACAGAAGGAUGAUAUCACAUUACAUGAGCAAUGUAAGAGAGUUUUCUUCUUUCUUUUCAA